GACGAACGCUGGCGGCGUGCUUAACACAUGCAAGUCGAGCGGUAAGGCCCUUUCGGGGGUACACGAGCGGCGAACGGGUGAGUAACACGUGGGUGACCUGCCCUUAGCUCUGGGAUAAGCCUGGGAAACUGGGUCUAAUACCGGAUAUGACUCCAUAACGCAUGUUGUGGGGUGAAAGCCUUGUGCGGCUAGGGAUGGGCCCGCGGCCUAUCAGCUUGUUGGUGG
RNAcentral lists this ribosomal RNA (225 nucleotides) under uncultured bacterium. Its description in RNAcentral is "partial 16S ribosomal RNA". It matches the Rfam family "Bacterial small subunit ribosomal RNA", at positions 28 to 255 of the family's 1533-position model. The record is from RNAcentral.